RNAcentral lists this ribosomal RNA (836 nucleotides) under uncultured fungus. RNAcentral describes it as "eukaryotic LSU rRNA". It matches the Rfam family "Eukaryotic large subunit ribosomal RNA", at positions 30 to 821 of the family's 3401-position model. Lineage: Eukaryota; Fungi. The record is from RNAcentral.
GAACUUAAGCAUAUCAAUAAGCGGAGGAAAAGAAACUAACAAGGAUUCCCCUAGUAACUGCGAGUGAAGCGGGAAGAGCUCAAAUUUAAAAUCUGGCAGCUGAUGGGCUUGUCCGAGUUGUAAUCUAGAGAAGUGUCUUCCGCGCUGGGACCGUGUACAAGUCUCUUGGAAUGGAGCAUCAUAGAGGGUGAGAAUCCCGUCUCUGACACGGAAUUUACCGGUGCUUUUGUGAUGCGCUCUCGAAGAGUCGAGUUGUUUGGGAAUGCAGCUCAAAAUGGGUGGUAAAUUCCAUCUAAAGCUAAAUACAGGCGAGAGACCGAUAGCGAACAAGUACCGUGAGGGAAAGAUGAAAAGGACUUUGAAAAGAGAGUUAAACAUUACGUGAAAUUGUUGAAAGGGAAACGAUUCAAGUCAGUCGCAUUAGCCAGUAAUCAACCCUCGCAAUUAACCUUGCUGGGCUUACUUUCUGGUUGAUGGGUCAGCAUCAAUUUUGACCGUCAGAGAAAGGCUUUGCGGGGAAUGUGACAUCUUCGGAUGUGUUAUAGCCCCAACUCGCAUGUGAUGGUCGGGAUUGAGGAACUCAGCACGCCUUUACAGGUCAGGGCCGCCAGAAUGGCCCAUGUAAACGUAGCUUAGGAUGCUGGCAUAAUGGCUUGAACCGACCCGUCUUGAAACACGGACCAAGGAGUCUAACAUGCCUGCGAGUGUUUGGGUGGAAAACCCGAGCGCGAAGCGAAAGUGAACUUGGUUGAGAUCCCUGUCGUGGGGAGCACCGACGCCCGGACCAGACCUUCUGUGACGGAUCUGCGGUAGAGCAUGCAUGUUGGGACCCGAAA